This 498-nucleotide ribosomal RNA is filed under the name uncultured bacterium. RNAcentral's name for it is "partial 16S ribosomal RNA". It matches the Rfam family "Bacterial small subunit ribosomal RNA", at positions 30 to 523 of the family's 1533-position model. The record is from RNAcentral.
AUUGAACGCUGGCGGCAUGCUUUACACAUGCAAGUCGAACGGCAGCGCGGGGCAACCUGGCGGCGAGUGGCGAACGGGUGAGUAAUACAUCGGAACGUACCCAGAAGUGGGGGAUAACGUAGCGAAAGUUACGCUAAUACCGCAUACGUUCUACGGAAGAAAGUGGGGGAUCGCAAGACCUCAUGCUUUUGGAGCGGCCGAUGUCUGAUUAGCUAGUUGGUAGGGUAAAGACCUACCAAGGCGACGAUCAGUAGGUGGUCUGAGAGGACGACCCGCAUCACAGGGGGUACGAGACGUCCCGGACUCCUACGGGGGACAGCAGUGGGGAAUCUUGGACAAUCGGCGCAAGCCUGAUCCAGCAAUACCGCGUGAGUGAAGAAGGCGUUCGGGUUGUAAAGCUCUUUUGUCAGGAAAGAAACGGCUGAGGAUAAUACCUUUGGCUAAUGACGGUACCUGAAGAAUAAGCACCGGCUAAGUACGUGCCAGCCGCCGCAGUAA